GAUGAAAAAAUAUGACUUUAUAUACUGCUGUAUAAAAUGGAAAUGUAGUUACAUACGGCAAAAAGAAGGCGAGAAUGAAUCAUCCUGAAGGCUCACAAAAACACCUCCUGCAACCAAUCAUUUGGGGAAUUUGAAAAAACAGAGCUUGGAGAUGUAGACACAGACUGGUCUUCGUGGCCGGCGAGAGGCAGAGUCCUGCAAGCAGGACAUCCUUUCACAAACUGGAACGUGAGACUGGAAGUCACCGAGAGACCUUGAGGAAGAGAGAGAUGACAUGAAGGGUUUCGAAGGCUCUAUGGAGGCGGGCUUUCAGGGCUGGCUGGAAGACGUCUGCGCUUGCCCAGUUCAACGACGGAAGAUGAGAUGGUACAUCGCUGUCAAACUGCUUGGACGGUCUUAGGCUCAGGGCAGGAAAUGAACGUGAAGGGAGGCACCGUUGCGCUGGAGAGCGGAAGAGAUUUCCAGAGAGGGGAGCUGCGAAUUCGGAAGGAAAAUAAAAGUGUCUGAUGGAGAAAGAUUAAGUAGGGUUUGAGUCAGGAAAAAAACAAAUGAACAAACCAACAAAACAGAGCUCAGCAUCCUUAAUGGGAAGAACAUAGCCUUACUGAAUAAGAUCAGAAACCUGCAAAAGACCAGGAUGAGACGAAAGCACAGGAGCACUCGGUGACUAAAAAACAACAGGAUGCCAGGCAAAGCUAGUAAGCAGAGACAAGACAGAGCAGGCUGAGAUAAGGACCACUUCCAAGUAAAUUAAGUGUCCAAUAACAACAUCAAGAUCUUCUUGGGACGACUAAACGGAAUCACCAACAUUACAAAAACAAAACAAAACAAAACCCCCAAAUUAAUAGUAAGGAAAAUGCAGCAGACGCUGUUGUGAAAACAGCUACAGCAUGACACCAGGUUGUCUGCAAACAGAAGCCACCUUUCUUUCGGGUAGCCACACCUCUGAGAAGUAGCCUGACCCCGAGUUUGAGGAAAAAUCUCUGUUAAUGAUAAUCUCAUUCUGUUCACCGUGAUUGGCUUAGAGGAGGACACGUGACUUAGUUAAAUGUGAUGAGACCUGCAGGCAAGUCGGCUGGCGGCUCCGUAGAGGAGUUUGCUCGGGAAGAUGACCGCACCCGGAAGACAGCUCUUCUUCUAGAAGUGGUCUCGGACUGAACCCUCAAUAUCUGCAAGGUGCAGUGACCUACUUGAUGGAGGAGUUUGGAGGAAAGAAUUGAGCAUGGUUGACUCCAUUCACUCUCCUUCGUCUCUGGGGUCUACAGAAAUCGGUUGACUCCAGUCUGCCUUUAGUCAUGAGUGAAGCUUGUCAGGAAGUGUCUGUUGUCUCCCACCCUUCAGGGGAGUGCUGCCAUUUCUGAGAGCUAUCAUCUUGGUUCAGGCAAGGCUGCCAUUCUGGGGGUCUGAAUAGAAAGCCCAUUUUGGCCACACACCUAAAUCACAUUCCUAACCUAUUUGAUAUUUCGAUGUCUAUCAGCCAGCUACUCUGUCUCUCCCUGGUUCAAAAUUAUGCAAAGAAAAAAUGAGAGCUGUGUAUUGAUCCCAAUAUAAACAUGUGUCUGGUUUGUU
Neofelis nebulosa (Clouded leopard) is the source of this 1569-nucleotide long non-coding RNA. RefSeq lists it as uncharacterized. NCBI's taxonomy places the organism in Eukaryota, Metazoa, Chordata, Mammalia, Carnivora, Felidae. The record is from RefSeq and is a predicted model, not a curated record. The transcript has 3 exons.